CAAUUAAUAACCAUAUAUAUCAAUUUUGUUAUUUCAAUUUUUAAAAAAUUAAAGGAAG
RNAcentral lists this small RNA (58 nucleotides) under Plasmodium falciparum 3D7. RNAcentral's name for it is "Pfa-npcR409". The record is from RNAcentral. Lineage: Eukaryota; Apicomplexa; Aconoidasida; Haemosporida; Plasmodiidae.